RNAcentral lists this ribosomal RNA (253 nucleotides) under uncultured bacterium. RNAcentral describes it as "partial 16S ribosomal RNA". It matches the Rfam family "Bacterial small subunit ribosomal RNA", at positions 524 to 776 of the family's 1533-position model. The record is from RNAcentral.
CACGUAGGGCGCGAGCGUUGUCCGGAAUUAUUGGGCGUAAAGAGCUCGUAGGCGGCCUGUUGCGUCCGCUGUGAAAGCCCGGGGCUUAACCCCGGGUCUGCAGUGGAUACGGGCAGGCUAGAGGUAGGUAGGGGAGAAUGGAAUUCCCGGUGUAGCGGUGAAAUGCGCAGAUAUCAGGAAGAACACCCGUGGCGAAGGCGGCUCUCUGGGACGGUACUGACGCUGAGACGCGAAAGCGUGGGGAGCGAACAGG